This is a non-coding RNA of Phoenix dactylifera (date palm), 2281 nucleotides long. The record is from RefSeq and is a predicted model, not a curated record. NCBI's taxonomy places the organism in Eukaryota, Viridiplantae, Streptophyta, Magnoliopsida, Arecales, Arecaceae.
AAAAAAAAGGUUGAUGCGAGCAGAAAAGGUCAUGGCUGAUGUGCAAUGGCGGCCGGGAAUAUGAUAAAUUUCGUUUCAUUAUCGACCGUCACUGGAUAGCGGCCCAGAACCAGCUACUCCCACCGAUGCCAUCCACGGUAUCUCGCCUUCUCUCCUUUCUCCUUCCCCCGCUUUCGGGCCGCUGUGAACGCAUCCUCAUCUCCCCUUUCUCGGCCGCCGCGCUGCACUGCAAGCACCUUUGGUCCACCGCCGCCUCCUUCCGCUGGUGUGAACCCCUUGCUCCGCCGCCCGUCGCUGCCGUUACCCAUCCCCUUCUCGUCGCCGGAGAUUAACCCAAACUCGUCGUGCUUCCUUUCCCUUCCUUCCGAAUCUUCCCUUCGUAAAACCCUAAACCCUACUACUUAUCAAUCACCCACUCGAAAUCUCAACCUUAGCUCCCUUCCUCCAGCUUUUCUAAUGUGCCGGAUGGUUCCGAUCGGUUUUGUUCCGAAAAGAUUAAUCUCUACUCUAAACCCUAGUUCUAAUCUCGCUGCUUGCCAGCAUUCCCUUCUUAUCUUCUCAUCUGAAUCUGUUGUGAAUCCCAAUCUCUCUUCACUUUCUGCCCCAAAUUCUGAUCCUAAUUAUCGUCAUUUUCUUUCAAAACUCCCAUUUCUAUCCCCAUUCGAUGUUAAACGGCCAGUUGGGUUGUUUUCAACCCUUUAUCCUGUAAUCUACAAGGCAUCAGGAACAAGAAUCCUGGCUGUGCUUUCGAAAUCUAGCUUCCCACAUCCACGGUCUAUUAGAUUUUGCUUUCAUUUGUUUUCGAGUUAUUCUCGUACAUCUUCUAAGAGACCCGGUGUUCCUAAUACUUUUGGAAGAUCCGGAAUGACUGAACGAAAACCUAGGCUUCAUAAUGUGGGAGUAGAUCCAAAUAAGGUGCUUGAGAUUGUCGAAAUGAUUAGAGGAGAUGCAAGUGAUUUGGAAUCAAAGUUGAAUCAGAUAAAUUUGAGGCUUUCCCAUGCUUUAGUUGCCGAGAUUCUUCAUGUUUUGAAUGAUCGUGGCAUUUUGGCAUUACGUUUCUUUAAUUGGGUUUUGAAUUCUGGCCAGCAUUUUAGGCCUACUGCAGGAAUUUACAAUCAGAUUGUAAACAAUCUUGGUCGGUCAGAUGAUUUUGAAACUAUGUUCCAAAUGUUAUGCGGGCUCUCUUCAAAGGGGCAUUGUCUCAACGAAAAGGCUUUUAGUUUUUUGACUCGCAGUUCUAUUAGCCUUAAGGAUUCCAUCAGCAAAAUCAUAGAAACACUAAAUGGAGUUGGAGGGUCAUGUCGAGGGUCUGGAAUUUACUCAGUGAUUAAGGUGCUCUGUGCGAUUAAUGCCUUUCAUCUUGCCAUCUUUGUAAUGGAAGAGACAGCAAGAAAGACUUCUUACUACCAUGUGCUUAUUGCAGCAAAGUGUCGGAAUGGUGAUUUCCAAGGGGCCCAAGAUUUACUUGAUGAGAUGAGAACAUUUGGUUGCAACCCGAGUACCAAAUCAUAUAAUUAUCUGUUAGGGAGCCUGUUUAAGAACAAGAGGGUUGUUGAAGCUUGUGAGUUGCUCAAAACAAUGGAAGAAUUGGGUUACCUUCCAGAUACUGUUACUUUCGACAUGGUCAUAAUUCAUGCAUGUAAGGCCAAUAGGAUGGAUUUUGCAAUUGAGUUCCUUAACCAGAUUUUGUCUGAAGGGAUUAAGCCAAGGAUGGCAAUGCAUGCAGCAUUCAUAAAGGGAUAUUUUUGGUCGGGGCGAGUGGAAGAUGCAUACAAGUAUGUGGUUGAUAUGAGUGUGAAGGAUAAGUGCUCAAGCAAUGUGAAUUACAGCUUACUUGCCAGCCUUUUCCAUGUAUCAGGGAGGGUGGUAGAAGCAGGCAGGGUUCUUCAUGAGAUGAUGGAGAAGGGACUGAAACCCAAUUUCCCUGUUUAUAUGAGAGUAGCAAAAGAUUUACACAAAAUGGCUAGGGGAGAUUUGGCUUCAGAAUUAAAAUCUAUAUUUCUGAGGUUUACUCAAGCACAGAUGCUGGAUGAUGUUUCUUGACAAUUUAUAUCUCAAUUUUGUAUGGAUUCAGACAAUUCCAUUCUGAACUGUGUGUAUGAUGAUGAGGAGGCAGCUGUUCAUGCCUGUGAUCUUGCUGCUCUAAAGUAUUGGGGAUGAGGAACUAUUCUUAACUUACCUGAAAACACGUAUCUAAAUGAGUGCCAGGAGAUGCAAAGCAUGUCCAAGAUUGAUUAUGUAGCUUCUCUUUGACGUAGUAGCAAUGGAUUUACCAUAUAUA